AAGAGCAACUGGCUUCUCCAUUUUGCGCUCGGCUCUCCUGGACUUUAUCCGGCCUUCUCUGGAAGUCUUAUUUUUCUGAAGGAAUCUGAUAUGUUUACAGGGUCUCUCUACCCUGUGAGUGUGAGCAAAUUCUUCAAGGGCUUCUUGGGAGACUGCAGAACAUUAGCUCUGCCCCCAGAAUCUGGCACUGGGCCUGGCACAGAGGAGCAGCUCGGUAAUGAUGGAUGAAAAGAAUGGAAAUGAAUUUGCACAUGAGAUGGUUGGACCCACUGCCUACCCCCUCAGGACCCUUCCAGCUUUGACCUUGAGGGGAUCCGAGGUGGUCCCCCAGUUUCCAGGUAGCUCCAGCCAUAUCAGCAGAGUCAACAGAGAGUGCCGUACCAUGGUAGACACUCGGCAAGCAUCUGAUGAAAUCGCUGUGUGACCUUAGGGAGUGGGAAGAGGACAGAGCUCAGAAUAGGGUUUCUGAGUACAAGCCACAGGUUCUAUCACCUACUCUCUGGGCUUCAUUUUCCCCAUCUGUGAAACGGGUUGGUGAUAAGCCCUGCCCCGUUUUCCUCAUGAGAAGAUUGUGAAGAGCAAAUGAAGUGUGAACAGUAAGCUCUGUGUAAACUUUAAAAUGUUGUCCAAGCCUGAUUAUGCAGUAGAAUCAUCUGGAUUUGUUUGUAAAACCUGAAAAACUACCACCACCACCACACCACCACCCAUGUCUGUGCACACACACACACAAAAGUUAGAAACUUAUGAAACAUUGAAGUGAGAUUUUGGUACAUUUGGGGAAGAAAUGAGAUUUCUAGACCUUUCUGGUAAAGGUUUGUGCUGCGUACCAUGCUGCAAGCAUUAUGGAGCUGGUAUGCCAGCCUUCUUCAGUCUUUUUCCUAGGGGUUCACAGGCCCUCUGUUAGCAGUGGCCCCUUGAUCUUCCAGGCUGA
RNAcentral lists this long non-coding RNA (931 nucleotides) under Vulpes vulpes (red fox). RNAcentral describes it as "lncRNA (ENSVVUG00000024272.1)". The record is from RNAcentral. Lineage: Eukaryota; Metazoa; Chordata; Mammalia; Carnivora; Canidae.